GAUGAACGCUGGCGGCGUGCCUAAUACAUGCCAGUCGAGCGAACAGACGAGGAGCUUGCUCCUCUGAAGAUAGCGGCGGACGGGCGAGUAACACAUGGAUAACCUACCUAUAAUACUGGGAUAACUUCGGGAAACCGGAGCUAAUAACGGAUAAUAUAUGGAACCGCAAGGUUCAAUAGUUAAAAACGGUUUUGCUGUCAAUUAUAGAUGGAUCCGCACCGUCUUAGCGAGUUGGUAAGGUAACGGCUUACCAAGGCGACGAAGCGUAGCCGACGUGAGAGGAUGAUCGGCCACACUGGAACUGAGACACGGUCCAGACUCCUACGGGAGGCAGCAGUAGGGAAUCUUCCGCAAUGGGCGAAAGCCUGACGAAGCAACGCCGCGUGAGUGAAGAGGGUCUUCGGGUCGUAAAGCACUAUUAUGGGGGAAGAAAACAUGCUCCAUUUCCUAUGCACGUCUUGACGGUACCUAAGCAGUAAGCCACGGCUAACUACGUG
RNAcentral lists this ribosomal RNA (497 nucleotides) under uncultured bacterium. RNAcentral describes it as "partial 16S ribosomal RNA". It matches the Rfam family "Bacterial small subunit ribosomal RNA", at positions 28 to 507 of the family's 1533-position model. The record is from RNAcentral.